This 429-nucleotide ribosomal RNA is filed under the name uncultured bacterium. RNAcentral describes it as "bacterial SSU rRNA". It matches the Rfam family "Bacterial small subunit ribosomal RNA", at positions 87 to 530 of the family's 1533-position model. The record is from RNAcentral.
UUGGAUUAGUGGCGAACGGGUGAGUAACACGUGAGUAACCUGCCUUUGGGUUCGGGAUAAGCCUGGGAAACUGAGUCUAAUACCGGAUAUUCCUUCUUCAUCUCAUGUUGGGGAAGGGAAAGGUUUAUCUGCCGAAAGAUGGACUCGCGGCCUAUCAGCUUGUUGGUGAGGUAAUGGCUCACCAAGGCGAUGACGGGUAGCCGGCCUGAGAGGGCGACCGGCCACACUGGGACUGAGAUACGGCCCAGACUCCUACGGGAGUGCAGCAGUGGAAAAUAUUGCACAAUGGGCGAAACGCCUGACGCAGCAACGCCGCGUGAGGGAUGAAGGUCUUCGGAUUGUAAACCUCUUUUCUCAGGGAAGAAUAAUGACGGUACCUGGGGAAUAAGCUUCGGCUAACUACGUGCCAGCAGCCGCGGUAAUACGUAG